This 494-nucleotide ribosomal RNA is filed under the name uncultured Roseateles sp. RNAcentral describes it as "bacterial SSU rRNA". It matches the Rfam family "Bacterial small subunit ribosomal RNA", at positions 9 to 504 of the family's 1533-position model. The record is from RNAcentral. Lineage: Bacteria; Pseudomonadati; Pseudomonadota; Betaproteobacteria; Burkholderiales; Sphaerotilaceae.
GAGUUUUUGGACUGGCUCAGAUUGAACGCUGGCGGCAUGCCUUACACAUGCAAGUCGAACGGUAACAGGUUAAGCUGACGAGUGGCGAACGGGUGAGUAAUGUAUCGGAACGUGCCCAGUCGUGGGGGAUAACUGCUCGAAAGAGCAGCUAAUACCGCAUACGACCUGAGAGUGAAAGCGGGGGAUCGCAAGACCUCGCGCGAUUGGAGCGGCCGAUAUCAGAUUAGGUAGUUGGUGAGGUAAAGGCUCACCAAGCCGACGAUCUGUAGCUGGUCUGAGAGGACGACCAGCCACACUGGGACUGAGACACGGCCCAGACUCCUACGGGAGGCAGCAGUGGGGAAUUUUGGACAAUGGGCGCAAGCCUGAUCCAGCCAUGCCGCGUGCGGGAAGAAGGCCUUCGGGUUGUAAACCGCUUUUGUCAGGGAAGAAAAGGUUCUGGCUAAUACCUGGGACUCAUGACGGUACCUGAAGAAUAAGCACCGGCUAACUAC